CAAUAGCGUAUAUUUAAGUUGUUGCAGUUAAAAAGCUCGUAGUUGGAUUUCGGAUGGGAUUUGCCGGUCCGUCGUUACGAUGUGCACUGGCCAGUCCUAUCUUGUUGUCGGGGACUAGCUCCUUGGAUUCACUUCCUGGGACUAGGAGCUGACGAGGUUACUUUGAGUAAAUUAGAGUGUUCAAAGCAAGCCUACGCUCUGAAUACAUUAGCAUGGAAUAACACGAUAGGACUCUGGCUUAUCUUGUUGGUCUGUGAGACCAGAGUAAUGAUUAAGAGGGACAGUCGGGGACAUUCGUAUUUCAUUGUCAGAGGUGAAAUUCUUGGAUUUAUGAAAGACGAACUUCUGCGAAAGCAUUUGUCAAGGAUGUUUUCAUUG
RNAcentral lists this ribosomal RNA (378 nucleotides) under uncultured eukaryote. RNAcentral describes it as "partial 18S ribosomal RNA". It matches the Rfam family "Eukaryotic small subunit ribosomal RNA", at positions 592 to 975 of the family's 1831-position model. The record is from RNAcentral.